RNAcentral lists this ribosomal RNA (398 nucleotides) under uncultured bacterium. RNAcentral's name for it is "partial 16S ribosomal RNA". It matches the Rfam family "Bacterial small subunit ribosomal RNA", at positions 338 to 734 of the family's 1533-position model. The record is from RNAcentral.
CCUACGGGAGGCUGCAGUGAGGAAUAUUGGUCAAUGGGCGGGAGCCUGAACCAGCCAAGUCGCGUGAGGGACGACGGUCCUAUGGAUUGUAAACCUCUUUUGUCGGGGAACAAAGGCGUCCACGGGUGGGCGGAUGAGUGUACCCGAAGAAAAAGCAUCGGCUAACUCCGUGCCAGCAGCCGCGGUAUUACGGGGGAUGCGAGCGUUAUCCGGAUUUAUUGGGGUUAACGGGUGCGUAGGCGGACAGUCAAGUCAGCGGUAAAAAUGCGGUGCUCAACGCCGUACAGCCGUUGAAACUGGCAGGCUUGAGUGGGGGAGAGGGAUGCAGAAUGCGUGGUGUAGCGGUGAAAUGCAUAGAUAUCACGAAGAACUCCGAUUGCGAAGGCAGCAUACCGGCG